This 379-nucleotide unclassified non-coding RNA is filed under the name uncultured Bacteriovoracaceae bacterium. Its description in RNAcentral is "contains 16S-23S intergenic spacer region". Lineage: Bacteria; Pseudomonadati; Bdellovibrionota; Bacteriovoracia; Bacteriovoracales; Bacteriovoracaceae. The record is from RNAcentral.
UCCUGGUUAACCCAGGCAGUCUCGUCAGAGUGCCCAACUUAAUGCUGGCAACAGACGAUAGAGGUUGCGCUCGUUGCGAGACUUAACCCAACAUUUCACAACACGAGCUGACGACAGCCAUGCAGCACCUCUCAUUUCAUUUCCUUGCGGACACUUCAGGCGUUACCCCGAAUUCGAAAGAGUUCAAGCCCAGGUAAGGUUUUGCGCGUUGCUUCGAAUUAAACCACAUAAUCCACCGCUUGUGCGGGCCCCCGUCAAUUUGUUUGAGUUUUAGUCUUGCGACCGUACUUCCCAGGCGGAGCACUUAAUGCGUUAGCUGCGUCACUGGAGGAGUCAAUACCUCCAAUAACUAGUGCUCAUCGUUUACGGCGUGGACUAC